This 506-nucleotide ribosomal RNA is filed under the name uncultured bacterium. RNAcentral describes it as "partial 16S ribosomal RNA". It matches the Rfam family "Bacterial small subunit ribosomal RNA", at positions 28 to 506 of the family's 1533-position model. The record is from RNAcentral.
GACGAACGCUGGCGGCGUGCCUAAUACAUGCAAGUCGAGCGCAGGAAGUCAUCCGAACCCUUCGGGGGGACGUUGACGGAAUGAGCGGCGGACGGGUGAGUAACACGUAAAGAACCUGCCCUCAGGUCUGGGAUAACCACGAGAAAUCGGGGCUAAUACCGGAUGGUCCUCGGACCGCCUUGUCCGAGGGUGAAAAGCGCCCCCGCGUCGCCUGGGGAUGGCUUUGCGGUGCAUUAGCUAGUUGGUGGGGUAAUGGCCCACCAAGGCGACGAUGCAUAGCCGACCUGAGAGGGUGAUCGGCCACACUGGGACUGAGACACGGCCCAGACUCCUACGGGAGGCAGCAGUAGGGAAUCUUCCACAAUGGACGAAAGUCUGAUGGAGCAACGCCGCGUGAACGAUGAAGGCCCUCGGGUCGUAAAGUUCUGUUGUAAGGGAAGAACAAGUGCCGCAGGCAAUGGCGGCACCUUGACGGUACCUUGCGAGAAAGCCACGGCUAACUACGU